This 360-nucleotide long non-coding RNA is filed under the name Glycine max (soybean). RNAcentral describes it as "long non-coding RNA (GMAX_LNC004510)". Lineage: Eukaryota; Viridiplantae; Streptophyta; Magnoliopsida; Fabales; Fabaceae. The record is from RNAcentral.
AAUGGACAAUUGACAAAGGUUAGUUUACACUUUUCCAACAUUCCAACAUUAUACGAGGAUAUGGAAUGUCAUAAUCCAAAGUCCACAAAAUUAAGAAUUGUCAUAAUCAUAAUUUCAAUAACAAAACCCGAAAAUUAGACAAGGACCAUUGGAAGGAAGAACUGCACCUUGUGUAGUUCAUUUUGAACUCAACUGAACCCUCAUGCCACCGUUUGAAUUAAGGCUUCAUUUUUUACUCAGUUUUUAUGAUAUUACAACCUAGUGAACCUACACAAUGCCAAUAAAGACCUUGGAAUCCCAAGGUUUUUGUAAUUUACACUAAACCAAACCAAAACCUUGGAAUUCAGGCAUUGAAUUGUU